This 429-nucleotide ribosomal RNA is filed under the name Gemmatimonadota bacterium. Its description in RNAcentral is "Gemmatimonadetes bacterium partial 16S ribosomal RNA". It matches the Rfam family "Bacterial small subunit ribosomal RNA", at positions 355 to 776 of the family's 1533-position model. The record is from RNAcentral. Lineage: Bacteria; Pseudomonadati; Gemmatimonadota.
UAGGGAAUCUUCGGCAAUGGACGAAAGUCUGACCGAGCAACGCCGCGUGAGUGAAGAAGGUUUUCGGAUCGUAAAACUCUGUUGUUAGAGAAGAACAAGGACGUUAGUAACUGAACGUCCCCUGACGGUAUCUAACCAGAAAGCCACGGCUAACUACGUGCCAGCAGCCGCGGUAAUACGUAGGUGGCAAGCGUUGUCCGGAUUUAUUGGGCGUAAAGCGAGCGCAGGCGGUUUCUUAAGUCUGAUGUGAAAGCCCCCGGCUCAACCGGGGAGGGUCAUUGGAAACUGGGAGACUUGAGUGCAGAAGAGGAGAGUGGAAUUCCGUGUGUAGCGGUGAAAUGCGUAGAUAUAUGGAGGAACACCAGUGGCGAGGGCGGCUCUCUGGUCUGUAACUGACGCUGAGGCUCGAAAGCGUGGGGAGCAAACAGG